ACUCGAGUGGCGAACGGGUGAGUAACACGUGGGUGAUCUGCCCUGCACUUCGGGAUAAGCUUGGGAAACUGGGUCUAAUACCGGAUAGGAGCCAUCUUUAGUGUGGUGGUUGGAAAGUUUUUCGGUGUAGGAUGAGCCCGCGGCCUAUCAGCUUGUUGGUGGGGUAAUGGCCUACCAAGGCGGCGACGGGUAGCCGGACUAAGAGGUUGGUCGGCCACAUUGGGACUGAGAUACGGCCCAG
This 241-nucleotide ribosomal RNA is filed under the name uncultured Actinomycetales bacterium. RNAcentral's name for it is "partial 16S ribosomal RNA". It matches the Rfam family "Bacterial small subunit ribosomal RNA", at positions 89 to 334 of the family's 1533-position model. Lineage: Bacteria; Bacillati; Actinomycetota; Actinomycetes; Actinomycetales. The record is from RNAcentral.